RNAcentral lists this ribosomal RNA (465 nucleotides) under uncultured bacterium. RNAcentral describes it as "partial 16S ribosomal RNA". It matches the Rfam family "Bacterial small subunit ribosomal RNA", at positions 28 to 507 of the family's 1533-position model. The record is from RNAcentral.
GACGAACGCUGGCGGCGUGCUUAACACAUGCAAGUCGUACGGUAAGGCCCUUUCGGGGGUACACGAGUGGCGAACGGGUGAGUAACACGUGAGUAACCUGCCCACAACUUUGGGAUAACGCUAGGAAACUGGUGCUAAUACUGGAUAUGUGCUCCUGCUGCAUGGUGGGGGUUGGAAAGCUCCGGCGGUUGUGGAUGGACUCGCGGCCUAUCAGCUUGUUGGUGGGGUAGUGGCCUACCAAGGCGGCGACGGGUAGCCGGCCUGAGAGGGUGACCGGCCACAUUGGGACUGAGAUACGGCCCAGACUCCUACGGGAGGCAGCAGUGGGGAAGAUUGCACAAGGGGCGCAAGCCUGAUGCAGCAACGCCGCGUGCGGGAUGACGGCCUUCGGGUUGUAAACCGCUUUCAGCAGGGACGAAGCUUUUUGUGACGGUACCUGCAGAAGAAGCACCGGCUAACUACGUG